GCCAAUCCCAUAAAACCAUUCUCAGUUCGGAUUGUAGGCUGCAACUCGCCUACAUGAAGCUGGAAUCGCUAGUAAUCGCGGAUCAGCAUGCCGCGGUGAAUACGUUCCCGGGCCUUGUACACACCGCCCGUCCACCACGAGAGUUUGUAACACCCGAAGUCGGUGGAGUAACCGUAAGGAGCUAGCCGCCUAAGUGAUAAG
This 201-nucleotide ribosomal RNA is filed under the name Priestia megaterium. RNAcentral's name for it is "partial 16S ribosomal RNA". It matches the Rfam family "Bacterial small subunit ribosomal RNA", at positions 1267 to 1471 of the family's 1533-position model. Lineage: Bacteria; Bacillati; Bacillota; Bacilli; Caryophanales; Bacillaceae. The record is from RNAcentral.